This 253-nucleotide ribosomal RNA is filed under the name uncultured bacterium. RNAcentral's name for it is "partial 16S ribosomal RNA". It matches the Rfam family "Bacterial small subunit ribosomal RNA", at positions 524 to 776 of the family's 1533-position model. The record is from RNAcentral.
UACGUAGGGUGCGAGCGUUGUCCGGAAUUACUGGGCGUAAAGAGCUCGUAGGUGGUUUGUCGCGUUGUUCGUGAAAACUCACAGCUUAACUGUGGGCGUGCGGGCGAUACGGGCAGACUUGAGUACUGCAGGGGAGACUGGAAUUCCUGGUGUAGCGGUGAAAUGCGCAGAUAUCAGGAGGAACACCGAUGGCGAAGGCAGGUCUCUGGGCAUUAACUGACGCUGAGGAGCGAAAGCAUGGGGAGCGAACAGG